UUAAAAAGCUCGUAGUUGGAUUUCUGUGAUGGGCAGCCGGCCGGCUCUUCGGAGUUGUAGCUAGGUUUGUUUGUCGCAUCUUGUCGUAAUUCUCACUGGCAUUCAUUUGUUGGUGUAGAGGACCGACUCGUUUACUUUGAGAAAAUAAGAGUGUUCAAAGCGGGCUAUCGCCUUGAAUUUGUUAGCAUGGAAUAAUGAUAUAGGACUUUUUGGUCUUAUUUUGUUGGUUGUUCGAGGACCGAAGUAAUGAUUGAUAGGGACGGUUGGGGGCAU
This 273-nucleotide ribosomal RNA is filed under the name uncultured marine eukaryote. RNAcentral describes it as "partial 18S ribosomal RNA". It matches the Rfam family "Eukaryotic small subunit ribosomal RNA", at positions 619 to 891 of the family's 1831-position model. The record is from RNAcentral.